RNAcentral lists this unclassified non-coding RNA (409 nucleotides) under uncultured fungus. Its description in RNAcentral is "partial contains 5.8S ribosomal RNA and internal transcribed spacer 2". The stretch from base 1 to 133 matches the Rfam family "5.8S ribosomal RNA", at positions 22 to 154 of the family's 154-position model. The record is from RNAcentral. Lineage: Eukaryota; Fungi.
UGGCUCUCGCAUCGAUGAAGAACGCAGCGAAAUGUGAUAAGUAAUGUGAAUUGCAGAAUUCAGUGAAUCAUCGAAUCUUUGAACGCAUCUUGCGCUCCUUGGUAUUCCGAGGAGCAUGCCUGUUUGAGUGUCAUGAAUAUCUCAAACCCUCUGAUCUUUAUGGUCAAGCAGGGCUUUGGACUUGGGAUUAUAGCUGGCGAAAGCCUGCUGUCCUUAAAUUCAUUAGCUGGAUUAUUCCCUCGUGCCACCCAGUGUGAUAAUAUCUACAUUGCUGUGGAUCACGGCGAGUGCUUACCCUGUUUGUUCAGAGUUGUAACCUCGAUAAAAGAUAAUCUGCUUCGAAUUGUCUGUCUCACAGACAACAUAACCUCUGACAUCUGACCUCAAAUCAGGUAGGACUACCCGCUGA